GACGAACGCUGGCGGCGCGCUUAACACAUGCAAGUCGAACGGAAAGGCCCGCUUUCCCUUGUGGAUUGCGGGUACUCGAGUGGCGAACGGGUGAGUAACACGUGAGUGAUCUGCCCCCAACUCGGGUAUAAGCCGGGGAAACUGGGUCUAAUUCCCGAUAGGACUGCAGGGUGGUGCCUGUGGUGGAAAACGAUGUUUUGGUGGUUGGGGAUGAGCACGCGGCUUAUCAGCUUGUUGGUGGGGUAGUGGCCUACCAAGGCGGCGUCGGGUAGCCGGCCUGGGAGGGUGGACGGCGACACGGGGCAGACGCUUAGGCGCAGCAGCAGUGGGGAGGAAGGCGCGAGGAGCGGAAGCCAGUGGCAGCGAGGCCGAGGGGGGGAUGACGGGUUUGGGAUGGUAGCCUCCGGGCGGUAGAGAGGAUGCGACCUGGAUGGAAGGGGGGUGACGGUAGUGGGAGAAGAAGCACCGGCUAACUACGUG
RNAcentral lists this ribosomal RNA (480 nucleotides) under uncultured bacterium. RNAcentral describes it as "partial 16S ribosomal RNA". It matches the Rfam family "Bacterial small subunit ribosomal RNA", at positions 28 to 507 of the family's 1533-position model. The record is from RNAcentral.